UUGAAGGGUUUGAAGACUACCACUUGCAUACUUGGAGGAUUUGAAGACUUCAACUUGCAUACCUUGUUGAAUUUGGAAACUUCAAGU
RNAcentral lists this microRNA precursor (87 nucleotides) under Solanum tuberosum (potato). RNAcentral's name for it is "MIR8024 microRNA precursor family". It matches the Rfam family "MIR8024 microRNA precursor family". Lineage: Eukaryota; Viridiplantae; Streptophyta; Magnoliopsida; Solanales; Solanaceae. The record is from Rfam by way of RNAcentral.